RNAcentral lists this ribosomal RNA (253 nucleotides) under uncultured bacterium. RNAcentral describes it as "partial 16S ribosomal RNA". It matches the Rfam family "Bacterial small subunit ribosomal RNA", at positions 524 to 776 of the family's 1533-position model. The record is from RNAcentral.
UACAGAGGUGGCAAGCGUUGUUCGGAAUUACUGGGCGUAAAGGGCGCGUAGGUGGCCUUCUUAGUCAGACGUGAAAUCCCCAGGCUUAACCUGGGAACUGCGUCUGAUACUGGAAGGCUCGAGUUCGGGAGAGGAAUGUGGAAUUCCAGGUGUAGCGGUGAAAUGCGUAGAUAUCUGGAGGAAUACCGGUGGCGAAGGCGGCAUCCUGGACCGGCAUUGACGCUGAGGAGCGAAAGCCAGGGGAGCAAACGGG